This 247-nucleotide ribosomal RNA is filed under the name uncultured bacterium. RNAcentral describes it as "partial 16S ribosomal RNA". It matches the Rfam family "Bacterial small subunit ribosomal RNA", at positions 523 to 769 of the family's 1533-position model. The record is from RNAcentral.
AUACGGGGGAUGCGAGCGUUAUCCGGAUUUAUUGGGUUUAAAGGGUGCGUAGGCGGUCCGGUAAGUCAGCCGUGAAAAGCCCCCGCUCAACGGGGGUCGUGCGUUUGAUACUGUUGGACUGGAAUGCGGAUGCCGUGGGAGGAAUGUGUGGUGUAGCGGUGAAAUGCAUAGAUAUCACGAAGAACUCCAAUUGCGAAGGCAGCUUACCGGGGUACAACUGACGCUGAGGCACGAAAGUGUGGGUAUC